RNAcentral lists this long non-coding RNA (933 nucleotides) under Cyanistes caeruleus (blue tit). Its description in RNAcentral is "lncRNA (ENSCCEG00000009903.1)". Lineage: Eukaryota; Metazoa; Chordata; Aves; Passeriformes; Paridae. The record is from RNAcentral.
AUUCAUGCUGUUUGGCUGAUCGAUGGCCAUGAGUGUUCCAUGUGUCUGUGGCUUUAUCUCUUCUCAUGGUAUUCACAUCAGCAGCAAGUAACAUUAGAAGAAUAAAGUCUCUUAGGCUUUAUAUUAAGAAUUCAAUUAUUCUGUAUAAUUGGCCUUGAUUUGUUAAAUAUUUGAAACAUUUUCUGCUCUUAGGUAUGGAAUAGUGUACUGGAGUGAUCAAAACCACAAAUAACUUGUACCUUUACUCAGAAAAUGCUUUUUUUAUCAAAUAGUAAGGAAGAUUAAGCCUAAGUCUCUCUCUUUUUCUAUUUGGAUUUUAUUCCUACAAGAAAUAUCACUUUUGUCCAGAAUCUCUCAUGUAUUUCUGUUCCCUUGAAAUACAAAGAGGCAAUGGAUUCUGGUAUAAAUUAGGUAGAUUUAAUGAAAUUUAUGAGUCGUAACUUGUGCUUUGAAUGUAAAAUACUUGAACGGGGCAUUAAGGUAUUUUUCUGAUGCCAUUAUUGUCACCUGUCUGGUUUUUUCAUUCUUCUGUGCCUGUUUUUGAAACACUUAGGAGCUGUGGAUUCUUGGGAAUAACAGUUUCUGUAUGCCAUAUGUAGAAAAUCUUCCCAAGGUCAUAUUUUUCUUUUUUUUUUUUAAAACAGUGUCUUCUUUAAAAGAAGCAGGGAAGAUCUACCCUGCAAAAUGAGAAAGUGGUAUUACUUCCACACUGAGAAGCUGGCUGUUACCUCAUAUAUCUGCCACUUUCCCAUUUAAUGAGAAAGUGAUUUAUCAUCUGGUGUCAGACAACAUCAAAAUGUUACUGCUCAGUAUCACUGAUUUUGAACUGCUAGAACUGCAGUAUUACUGUGCAUUAAGUAAUCAAGAAGAAGAGCAAAAUUCAGCCUUGACAAAGGGAAAUUAACCUCAUGAAUGUUUGUGAGUAAUAAAAAG